UACGAAGGGGGCUAGCGUUGCUCGGAAUCACUGGGCGUAAAGGGUGCGUAGGCGGGUCUUAAGUCAGGGGUGAAAUCCUGGAGCUCAACUCCAGAACUGCCUCGAUACUGGAAAGCUCGAGUCCGGGAGAGGUGAGUGGAACUGCGAGUGUAGAGGUGAAAUUCGUAGAUAUUCGCAAGAACACCAGUGGCGAAGGCGGCUCACUGGCCCGAUACUGACGCUGAGGUGCGAAAGCGGUGGGGAGCAAACAGGG
Molecule: ribosomal RNA, 253 nt
Filed under: uncultured bacterium
Lineage: Bacteria
Description: partial 16S ribosomal RNA
Rfam family: Bacterial small subunit ribosomal RNA
Source: RNAcentral